CAGCCGCCGCGGGAAUACGUAGGUGGCAAGCGUUGUCCGGAAUUAUUGGGCGCAAAGGGCUCGCAGGCGGUUUCUUAAGUCUGAUGUGAAAGCCCCCGGCUCAACCGGGGAGGGUCAUUGGAAACUGGGAAACUUGAGUGCAGAAGAGGAGAGUGAAAUUCCACGUGUGGCGGUGAAAUGCGUAGAGAUGUGGAGGAACACCAGUGGCGAAGGCGACUCUCUGGUCUGUAACUGACGCUGAGGAGCGAAAGCGUGGGGAGCGAACAGGAUUAGAUACCCGUGUAGUCCCUGUCUCUUAUAC
Molecule: ribosomal RNA, 301 nt
Filed under: uncultured bacterium
Lineage: Bacteria
Description: partial 16S ribosomal RNA
Rfam family: Bacterial small subunit ribosomal RNA
Source: RNAcentral